This 424-nucleotide ribosomal RNA is filed under the name uncultured archaeon. RNAcentral describes it as "bacterial SSU rRNA". It matches the Rfam family "Archaeal small subunit ribosomal RNA", at positions 458 to 880 of the family's 1478-position model. The record is from RNAcentral.
UCAGCCGCCGCGGUAAAACCAGCACCUCAAGUGGUNCNAGGAUGAUUAUUGGGCCUAAAGCAUCCGUAGCCGGCUCUGUAAGUCCUCGGUUAAAUCUGUACGCUUAACGUACAGGCUGCCGGGAAUACUGCAUAGCUAGGGAGUGGGAGAGGUAGACGGUACUCGGUAGGAAGGGGUAAAAUCCUUUGAUCUAUUGAUGACCACCUGUGGCGAAGGCGGUCUACCAGAACACGUCCGACGGUGAGGGAUGAAAGCUGGGGGAGCAAACCGGAUUAGAUACCCGGGUAGUCCCAGCUGUAAACUAUGCAAACUCAGUGAUGCAUUGGCUUGUGGCCAAUGCAGUGCUGCAGGGAAGCCGUUAAGUUUGCCGCCUGGGAAGUACGUACGCAAGUAUGAAACUUAAAGGAAUUGGCGGGGGAGCACA